Molecule: long non-coding RNA, 1021 nt
Filed under: Amazona collaria (yellow-billed parrot)
Lineage: Eukaryota; Metazoa; Chordata; Aves; Psittaciformes; Psittacidae
Description: lncRNA (ENSACOG00000000677.1)
Source: RNAcentral
GCAGUAAAGGGUAUGGGUAUUGCUGCAAUGAGGUUAACACGUAUCACACCCCUGAGAUGCCACAUGGGACCUCACCUGUGGUCCCUGGUGUUGGGGACAGGGAUGCCAGCAUGAAAGGGCUCACCUGGGCAAAAAGGUAAUCAAUGACGGGGUAGUCCAGGACAGGGCUGGCCCGGUCGUUCAGCAGCUGGAAACGGUGGGACUGCCCACACCAGCUGGGGAACAAGAACCUGAUGGGGAGAGCAGAGGAGGCCUCAGCGCCACAUCUCCCGCAGUGCACAACCUCUAUCAGCCAUCAGAGACUCCCCAGGGAGCCGUGCUGGGGCUGUACCUGAUCCUGUAUACCACGACCUGGCUGCAGGACUCAUCGACAGUGAAGAGGUGGUUGGGAGGGAACCAGCAGCUCAGGUCCUCAGUGGCCAGGGCGAAAAGUGGGUGGCACAUGGGCAGCACACCUGGGCACAGGAACAGUGCCAUGACCCCCCAGGGAACAGGUGCGUCCUUUACCUGCGGCACCAGGAGCUGAUAGGCACAGCUGGUACCCGCGGCACCGGGGCUGAUGCUUACUGCAGGCUUUGGCAGCGCGGACGCAGAGCUCCUCGGCCGUGUACUCGCCGAAGGUGAAGGUGAGGACACCAGGAGCGCCGGGGGGGCACCCGGUGGUACAGGCCCUGAAUCGAUCCCAGGAAUGGGCAGGAGGACUCAGCUUCAUCUCCGUGCUCAGCUGGGCUGGAUGGACCUCAUGGAGCCCCCUGGGCUGGUCACCAUGGGGCUGGUGCAUGCCUGGUCCCUGUGCCGUGCAGCAUCGCACGUACCCGCUGACGGAUGUGGCUGGGCCCAGCAGCCACCGCUCGUUGUUUUUCCCUUUUCUGCUGCUCUAACCAGCUCAGCAAGGAGGCAAAGCCAAGGGUGAGGAGGGAAGGGGGUCCCUGGGGACACAGGCUGGGGACAAGGCCACAAGCUGGGUUCAAAUCCCAGGGACCAGGGGCUCUCCUCUGCCUCCAUGCUCAGUGAUGCCCCG